RNAcentral lists this ribosomal RNA (253 nucleotides) under uncultured bacterium. RNAcentral's name for it is "partial 16S ribosomal RNA". It matches the Rfam family "Bacterial small subunit ribosomal RNA", at positions 524 to 776 of the family's 1533-position model. The record is from RNAcentral.
UACGUAGGGUGCAAGCGUUAAUCGGAAUUACUGGGCGUAAAGCGUGCGCAGGCGGUUAUGCAAGACAGAUGUGAAAUCCCCGGGCUCAACCUGGGAACUGCAUCCGAAACUGCCUUGCUCGAGUAUGGGAGAGGGAAGUGGAAUUUCCGGUGUAGCGGUGAAAUGCGUAGAUAUCGGAAAGAACAUCAGUGGCGAAGGCGACUUCCUGGACCAAUACUGACGCUCAGGUGCGAAAGCGUGGGGAGCAAACAGG